Molecule: long non-coding RNA, 2250 nt
Organism: Sinocyclocheilus anshuiensis
Lineage: Eukaryota; Metazoa; Chordata; Actinopteri; Cypriniformes; Cyprinidae
Source: Ensembl
GCCGCGGCCAGCGACUCUGAGCCAAUCACAAAGCUCAGACCGAGUGACGCACAUACGUCAAGUACUCGCAGGCCUACGUGACGCGCGAGCGGAGAAUCAACUGAUGCUGCUGUGUAAAUGAACUCUUUACGUGAUUUUCCAAGAUUUCCGCGCCGCGAAAUGUAUGAAGAAAUGUCAGUAGAAAGAAACUGGACGGACACCGAGACGAGGGCGCUGCUGUACAUCCGACAGGACGAAGAAAUCAGUAGGCAAAUCAGCGGAACGGUUCGCGACUCUCUUAUUUACGCUGAAAUAUCAAGGCUGCUGCGGACGCAAGGGAUCCACAGAACCAAGCGACAGGUCACCACCAAACUGAAAACACUCAAGCAGAAGUUCCUUAAAAUACACGAGCAUCACAAAAACAACGGCCACGGCAGAGUGUACUGGAAUUACUAUGAUCUCUGCAAGUCCAUCUGGGGCAGCAACCGCUCCACAGACGCUUUAACAGUUCAUAAUAACGUCAAACUCGAAGAGCCUCAGAGUACAUCCAUCGAGGACGCGAGAAACGAGAGCAGAUCCACAGACAUCGAGGUGUCAGUCGGUCAUGAAGAGGAGACGGAUGACAUGACAGACGUUGUUGCUCAACCUGUGAGGAAGAAGGCCAAAAAACAUUCCAUUAGCGACUCUGUGAGAGAUCAAGAACCUCUCCAUGUGCAAAACCAGAGGGAGUAUGAGGAACACUUGCGAAGGGAAGCCAGAGAAGAGCAGAAGGAGGAACGAGCGAGUCUUAUGGCCAUGUGGAAGGAGAUGAUGGAGUUUCAAGGGAACCUCUUGAAGGAGUUUAUUCAGCGCCCAUCUCUGCCUUCACUUCCAUCUUACCACAGACAUGCUCUUCACAACCAAGGACGCUCAAGUUUUCCAAGCACUAGCUACAUGGCACCGUACGACUCGCCAGGAACUGAAACUGAGAAUGAAAGUGCAAUCUCACACGAGGAAGAGGAGGAGGAGAAAUAUGUUAUUCCAGCUGAGACUGCACCCGUGUUGGACGUUCAGCCUGUUAACCGUGCAAACGACAGCCAAUCAAACACAGCAGAGACUGAUUCAGCAGGAAAGAGCGAUCUGGAGAUGUCUGUGCUACGCAGACAGGAAAUAGUCUUACAGCUUCAGGAAGAAUACUACUCACUCAAAAUCAAGUAUCUGAAACACAAGAUGGCCAAGGAUCCAUGACAGAACGCUAAAGAGGAGUGUUAACUGUUCUGCUCUUUCAAGCUGUGAAAACUUGCUUUGCGAAUGUAGAUGUUCUCAGCUGGACUGUGGAAAAUAUCAAUGUGUAGUUGUCUGUGCACCUCAUAUCCCUUGUAGUUCAUAUUACAUAUUUUGACCAGUAGAUGGCAAGGUGGUUACUUCAUAUUUUUCCUGGUGUCUAUAGACAUGUCCAAGAGAAAUCAACAGGUAGGUCUAGGUUUUUCUUUAAAUAUGCGAAUAUUUAUAAGCAUUUGCUCAUUUUCAUGGCAGUUUACCAGCAGUUAUUGGUUUUUGGGACAUUAUUUUGCAAAAUUCUCCCCAUUUUCUCCACUAAACGUUACUGGGCUUAUUAUAAAUGAUUCAUUGGUUUGUUAUGUAACACCCACUUUCACAAUCAAUUCCUGAUGGAUAACAGUCUUGCUCUACCUUUAAUUUUUUUCCAUUUAAGGUUCUGUUUUGCACAUUACAGCAGUAAAAUGUGUUGCAAAUACAUUUUAAUGUUGACUAUAGGAAGUAACGUGAGCUGGACAUUACUCUCCUAAUGUGGAGUAUGUCUGUUACCAUUAUUUUUCAUUAAAUGAAUGAAAGCCAUUGAGUCCGAUACAUAGUAUUUAAAAAACUAAAUCAAAAGCAAAAGUCUUGGUCGCACUUUAUUUUAAUGUCCAAUUCUCACCAUUAACUACGACUGUUGCCUCAAUAAACUCCUAAUUUGCUGCUUAUUAUUAGUUAUUAAGGUAGUUAAGUUUAGGUAUUGAUUAGGGAUGUAGAAUAUGGUCGUGCAGAAUAUGUGCUUUAUAAAUAUAAAUAAACAGCCAACAUGUUAAUAAUAAGCAUGCUAAUGAGCACUAGUUAAUAGUGAGAAUUGGUCCCUGUACAAAAGUGUUACUAAAAUCUUUUUUAAAGAAUUGUUUAAAAGCAGGGAUUCCUAGCCUAGUUUUGUUAGUAAAAUCCCUUUAAACUAAACUAUUUUCUUGAGAUUUAAAUUUAUUUGAUAAAUAUUUCAGUUAAUAUUUCAAAACAUUUGCA